Molecule: ribosomal RNA, 253 nt
Filed under: uncultured bacterium
Lineage: Bacteria
Description: partial 16S ribosomal RNA
Rfam family: Bacterial small subunit ribosomal RNA
Source: RNAcentral
UACGGAGGGUGCAAGCGUUGAUCGGAAUUACUGGGCGUAAAGCGCACGUAGGUGGUUUGUUAAGCUAGAUGUGAAAGCCCCGGGCUCAACCUGGGAAUUGCAUUUAGAACUGGCAAGCUAGAGUAGGGUAGAGGGGUGUGGAAUUCCAGGUGUAGCGGUGAAAUGCGUAGAUAUCUGGAGGAACACCGAUGGCGAAGGCAGAUCUCUGGGCCGUAACUGACGCUGAGGAGCGAAAGCAUGGGGAGCGAACAGG